GAAUAUUGGACAAUGGAGGCAACUCUGAUCCAGCCAUCCCGCGUGUAGGAAGAAGGCCCUAUGGGUCGUAAACUACUUUUGUCAGGGAAUAAACCUCUCGAUUUACUCGGGAGCUGAAGGUACCUGAAGAAUAAGCACCGGCUAACUCCGUGCCAGCAGCCGCGGUAAUACGGAGGGUGCAAGCGUUAUCCGGAAUCACUGGGUUUAAAGGGUGCGUAGGUGGUAUCGUAAGUCAGAAGUGAAAGUUUGCGGCUUAACCGUAAAAUUGCUUUUGAUACUGCAAUACUUGAAUCAGGUUGAGGUUGGCGGAAUGUGGCAUGUAGCGGUGAAAUGCUUAGAUAUGCCAUAGAACACCAAUUGCGAAGGCAGCUGACUGGACUUGUAUUGACGCUGAGGCACGAAAGCGUGGGGAGCGAACAGG
Molecule: ribosomal RNA, 421 nt
Filed under: uncultured bacterium
Lineage: Bacteria
Description: bacterial SSU rRNA
Rfam family: Bacterial small subunit ribosomal RNA
Source: RNAcentral